CUAUUCAGAAGUAUGUUUAGAUGUGGAUCCUUCUGUAAGCUCUAACUGGACAAAUUUUGGUUUAGAGUAUUUUUGUUCAAGGAUACAGUGCAAACAAACAGUGCAGAGUUUAACUGUAAUUUUUGUGUUUUGGAAGACAGUUCCACAAAUUUGUUUUUGCUACAUAAGAGAUUCACAAAGAAGAAUAGAAUCAUUGUGUUUAGUAAAAUGCAACAGUGUCAAACCCCAUGAUUUACUGUGGAGAAACAGUCAAUGAGAUGCUUCCAAGGGGGGAAAUUUAUAUUCAGUAUUUUUUCUCUUUUUAGGAGAAUUUGCCCAAGCAAUGGGAAUCAGUGCUUCAUUAGUUAUCAUCUGUGCUGUAAUCGGGAUCAGCUUCUUACUGUAUCGAAGGAGGUCCAAAACCACCAUCCCGCUGCAGAGACAAGAAGAACUGAGGCCCAUAAACUGUGCUCCAGCUGUACCUGAAGCAGUUUGAAGCCUAUGACCUUCUGCCUUUACAGAGAGCAGGAACAGAUUCUCCUCAUGGAGUGAAGACCUCCACACAGGACUGUAAAUUAUGUGUGUGUGAAGAAGCCCUUUGACAUUCUGUGGACAUAUGUAGGCAGUUAUUAGGAGUGCAUAAGGAACUUCAGUGCUGAGAGCCCUCUUCUCAUUCACCAAGUGCUCUAACACACUGUUUUUUUUUUACCCUUCGAGGAUAAGACUGGUGAUACUCUGUUUUAGUGUUGUCAAAUCCCUACAAUGAAAUAUUCCAGCCGUCAAGCAUCAUCCCUUUAACCAAAGCCUGAAAUAGUUAAGCUGAGCCAUGGAGCUCUACUGAAAGUGAUUUGAGGUCAGUGCCAUAAACACAUUCUUGCUCUUGAGCCAAAAUCUAUAUCUAAAAAUGCUCUGUUUAAGCAAAGUAUGCUCCAACCUACAGUGCUUAGCAUUUCAGAGGAUUACUUAGCUGCAGAAACAGACUAUAUCCAAAAGAUGGACCACUGUGAAAUGGAAAUAACAACGUAACCAUACCCUGCUUUAUCAUCUGUUUUACUGUAAACAGGACCACAAUUUUCAAAGUGAACAUCACGCUGUAUUGAAGGAGACACAUGACUAAUGACUGAAACCAUAAACUCAGUAGGAAAAUGUUUACUGAAGUAAUGAGUCAGGUCAGAAGUAGCAUCAUUUUCUCAUAGACUUCUAUAAAAUCCAAUGACUUUUUGUAACCACAGGAGUCACCCCCUGCUGGCUGUUAGAAAAAAUGCAGGUUUAAGUCAGUUGCACAUUGGCUUCACUUUUCAGACUUGAAGGCUACAUCCAUCUUGUAUUUACAAUUGUUUGGGGUUAAAAGCAUGUUAAACAAGUUUUUAUGUCUUUAGUAAGAACCUAUGAAUUAAGUGCCACACAGAAAGGAAAAGUAUUUGUAUUUGUACAUCUGCUACUGUAUUUUAUGAUCAGCGUCAGAGAACAUAACGCCGUUCUGAUAGUUUACUGUAUACAUUUACUUUUAAUUAAAUUCAGUGUGGAAUAAUGUGAUAAGAAUGUACCGAUGACAUACUUUUUUGAACAAAUUAACACACAAACACCAUAAAUACCAAAGGAACAUGCUUUGUUGUUACUUUUCAGCUGCCUCUUUUAUGCAAAGGAUACAUUGAGGAUACACCUGAGCAUUCUGAAUCACAGCUCCUCCAUCAAGCCUCCUCUUUCCUUGAGAUGCAGUUUAGGAAUUGAGACAUCCUUCAUGGUGGUCACUAAAAUCAGUUCACAGGCAGGAGGACGGACAACAGAGGCAACAAGGAGGCCCAUGACAGAGAAAUGACAGGAGCUCUGAUAGUUUGUUUUGGCUUUUUCAUGCGAAUGGUAACAAAAAAUGACAAUGAAAAUAUUGUAUCUCUGGAGUGAAUUAUAAAGUUUUGUGUUGUUUUCACUCAAAUGGAAUAUUUGUAAAUGAACAAACUGGAGUGUAAACGGUUGCUGCCAGCAAUCACUGUGAAUGAAAUGACUGAUUUUUUUAUAUGUGCAGGCUUAAAGUGAAUGUGUAGCGAGGAAACAGUGAUCCAAACAUAAUAAAUCACGUUUGGUUGCUCC
Molecule: long non-coding RNA, 2067 nt
Organism: Amphiprion ocellaris (clown anemonefish)
Lineage: Eukaryota; Metazoa; Chordata; Actinopteri; Pomacentridae
Source: Ensembl